This 301-nucleotide ribosomal RNA is filed under the name uncultured bacterium. RNAcentral's name for it is "partial 16S ribosomal RNA". It matches the Rfam family "Bacterial small subunit ribosomal RNA", at positions 509 to 807 of the family's 1533-position model. The record is from RNAcentral.
CAGCAGCCACGGGAAUAAAGAGGAUGCAAGCGUUAUCCGGAAUGAUUGGGAAUAAAGUGUCUGUAGGUGGCUUUUCAAGUCCGCCGUCAAAUCCCCGAGCUCAACCCUGGACAAGCAGUGGAAACUACCAAGAUGGAGUACGGUAGGGGUAGAGGGAAUUUCUGGUGGAGCGGUGAAAUGCGUUGAGAUCGGAAAGAACACCAACGGCGAAAGCACUCUGCUGGGCCGACACUGACACUGAGAGACGAAAGCUAGGGGAGCAAAUGGGAUUAGAUACCCCUGUAGUCCCUGUCUCUUAUAC